GGGCUUGUGGUUUAGUGGUAUAAUACUCCCUUAGCAUCCGAUGGCGUCUUCCUCUUGCGAGGAGUCCCUCACGAGAAACUGGGAGUGGUCCGGGGUUCGAUUCCCCGCGAGUCCA
This is a non-coding RNA of Nemania sp. FL0031, 115 nucleotides long. NCBI's taxonomy places the organism in Eukaryota, Fungi, Ascomycota, Sordariomycetes, Xylariales, Xylariaceae. The record is from the annotation of a GenBank genome assembly.